Molecule: ribosomal RNA, 497 nt
Filed under: uncultured bacterium
Lineage: Bacteria
Description: partial 16S ribosomal RNA
Rfam family: Bacterial small subunit ribosomal RNA
Source: RNAcentral
GAUGAACGCUGGCGGCGUGCCUAAUACAUGCAAGUCGAGCGAACAGACGAGGAGCUUGCUCCUCUGACGUUAGCGGCGGACGGGUGAGUAACACGUGGAUAACCUACCUAUAUGACUGGGAUAACUUCGGGAAACCGGAGCUAAUACCGGAUAAUAUAUUGAACCGCAUGGUUCAAUAGUGAAAGUCGGUUUUGCUGUCACUUAUAGAUGGAUCUGCGCCGCAUUAGCUGGUUGGUAAGGUCACGGGUUACGAAGGGAAGCAGGCGUAGCCGACCUGAGAGGGGGGUCGGCCACACGGGAAGGUGAACGCGGACCAGAGUCCUACGGGAGGCAGCAGUAGGGAAUCUGCCGCAAUGGGCGGAAGCCUGACGGAACAGCGCCGCGUGAGUGAUGAAGGUCUUCGGAGCGUAAAACUCUGUUAUUGGGGAAGAACAAAUUUGGAAGUAACUGUGCACGUCUUGACGGUACCUAGUCAGAAAGCCACGGCUAACUACGUG